AAUCCAUAGGUUAAUGAGGCGAACCGGGGGAACUGAAACAUCUAAGUACCCCGAGGAAAAGAAAUCAACCGAGAUUCCCCCAGUAGCGGCGAGCGAACGGGGAGGAGCCCAGAGCCUGAAUCAGCAUGUGUGUUAGUGGAAGCGUCUGGAAAGGCGCGCGAUACAGGGUGACAGCCCCGUACACAAAAGCGCAUGUGCUGUGAGCUCGAUGAGUAGGGCGGGACACGUGGUAUCCUGUCUGAAUAUGGGGGGACCAUCCUCCAAGGCUAAAUACUCCUGACUGACCGAUAGUGAACCAGUACCGUGAGGGAAAGGCGAAAAGAACCCCGGCGAGGGGAGUGAAAAAGAACCUGAAACCGUGUACGUACAAGCAGUGGGAGCACAGGUUUACCUGUGUGACUGCGUACCUUUUGUAUAAUGGGUCAGCGACUUAUAUUCUGUAGCAAGGUUAACCGAAUAGGGG
This 463-nucleotide ribosomal RNA is filed under the name Salmonella enterica subsp. enterica serovar Infantis. Its description in RNAcentral is "partial 23S ribosomal RNA". It matches the Rfam family "Bacterial large subunit ribosomal RNA", at positions 161 to 662 of the family's 2925-position model. RNAcentral also lists the same sequence under 4 other names. The record is from RNAcentral. Lineage: Bacteria; Pseudomonadati; Pseudomonadota; Gammaproteobacteria; Enterobacterales; Enterobacteriaceae.